GCAAAUGAAAUGGGCAAAGUAAAAACCGAAUUAGUGAGAAGGGGUCUUUAUUACCAUUAACACAACCCUGUGAAGAGAACGAAAAAAAAGAUAAAAAAAAAAUAAAAAUGGAAAUAAAGAGAGAGAGUGAGUUGGAAGAAGAAAGAAAAAGGGUAGAAUAGUAGUGCAUAGGAGAGACAAAACGGUGAGUAUUACCAAAAAGAGGAACAAAGAGAAAAGGUUGAAAAUGGCCUUUCACCGUCCUUCCCCAAACCCCAAAACCUCCUCAAUGCCUGCUGCAAAAAAUAAUACUCCACUCCCCAACCAAUCAUAUUUCCCAUUUUAGUAGAAUCGCUUCUCUCUCUCUCUCUCUCUCUCUCUCAAAAGUUUAGAGAGAGAGAGACAAGUAGUAUUAUUAAAUCCUAGAGUGAAAGAGGAAAAGGCGAAAAAGGACUUGGCUAUCAUUUUUGAUUCUGUUUGCAUAAUCAACAAUGGAUGUGGUGGUUGUUGUGGUUGUGGUGGUUCUUGUUUCAACUUCAACAGUAGCAUGCAAUGACGAUUAUACCCUUCCUCAAAAACAGAUGAGACAUCUCUUCGUUGCGUCCAAAAAGGCAGACAGGAUGGAGCCAGGCAUAACAUAUUAUCUACUACUAUAUUUAUAUAUAAUUAUUAUAUUUUCUUUCUCUUUUUGGAUUUUCAUCACCAACAACACUUUUUCCCUUUUCGCUCUUUUUUUUUUUUUUUUUGCUUUUUUUAUUCUAUGGUGUCUUGAGAUUUAAAGAAAGAAAGAAGAGAGCAUACAACCCGUCAUCAAUCAUGGUUUUUGUUAUCCCUAAACUACAAGGACAAAAUAUUGUAAUGACGAUUUUAUAACUUAUUGACUUCUUCUGAAUUGUAUGUAUCCUUAUUUUUCAUUAUACUGAUCACGAUGAUGAUGUA
Molecule: long non-coding RNA, 918 nt
Organism: Cicer arietinum (chickpea)
Lineage: Eukaryota; Viridiplantae; Streptophyta; Magnoliopsida; Fabales; Fabaceae
Source: RefSeq, a predicted model, not a curated record